RNAcentral lists this ribosomal RNA (297 nucleotides) under uncultured Pseudomonadota bacterium. Its description in RNAcentral is "uncultured proteobacterium partial 16S ribosomal RNA". It matches the Rfam family "Bacterial small subunit ribosomal RNA", at positions 29 to 351 of the family's 1533-position model. Lineage: Bacteria; Pseudomonadati; Pseudomonadota. The record is from RNAcentral.
AACGAACGCUGGCGGCAGGCUUAACACAUGCAAGUCGAGCGAGGACUUCGGUCCUAGCGGCGGACGGGUUAGUAACGCGUGGGAACGUGCCCCUUUCUUCGGAAUAGCCUCGGGAAACUGGGAGUAAUGCCGGAUACGCCCCUUACGGGGGAAAGAUUUAUCGGAGAGGGAUCGGCCCGCGUUGGAUUAGGUAGUUGGUGGGGUAAUGGCCUACCAAGCCGACGAUCCAUAGCUGGUUUGAGAGGAUGAUCAGCAACACUGGGACUGAGACACGGCCCAGACUCCUACGGGUGGCAG